Molecule: non-coding RNA, 102 nt
Organism: Meira miltonrushii
Lineage: Eukaryota; Fungi; Basidiomycota; Exobasidiomycetes; Exobasidiales; Brachybasidiaceae
Source: the annotation of a RefSeq genome assembly
GGCUUCGUAUUUCAGUUGGUUAGAAAGCCAUCUUAACAUGUCUCGAAAGAGAGUGUUGAAACAAUUCGGUGGAGGUCCCCGGUUCGAGUCCGGGCGAAGUCA